CUGUAGUUUUGGGUAUCAAUUUAACAUGUACGAUAACGUAUUUUUGUCUUAUAUACAGAGAUUGACGAAUGCCUUUACGAACCUUGUCAUAAUGGAACCUGCAUUGAUCUGAUCGGUAACUUUAGCUGCGAUUGUUACGAGGGAUAUACAGGAUCUUAUUGUGAUGUUGAGAUUGACGAAUGCCUUUACGAACCUUGUCAUAAUGGAACCUGCAUUGAUCUGAUUGGCAACUUUAGCUGCGAUUGUUACGAGGGAUAUACAGGAUCUUAUUGUGACGUCGAGAUUGACGAAUGCCUUGACGAACCUUGUAAUAAUGGAUCGUGCAAUGAUCUCAUCGGCAACUUCAGUUGCGAUUGUUACGAGGGAUAUACAGGAUCCUAUUGUG
Long non-coding RNA from Lytechinus pictus (painted urchin), 385 nucleotides. RefSeq lists it as uncharacterized. NCBI's taxonomy places the organism in Eukaryota, Metazoa, Echinodermata, Echinoidea, Temnopleuroida, Toxopneustidae. The transcript is spliced from 3 exons. The record is from RefSeq and is a predicted model, not a curated record.